This 320-nucleotide long non-coding RNA is filed under the name Homo sapiens (human). Its description in RNAcentral is "HSALNT0397748". The record is from RNAcentral. Lineage: Eukaryota; Metazoa; Chordata; Mammalia; Primates; Hominidae.
CUUUGUGGAGUUGUGGUGAGAAAGGUGUUUUGUUGUGCGCGUGUCCGAAGGUGACUCCGGAGGAGAAGGUGGAUAUGAACUGACGGACCUUUUAUCUCUAAGCCAGAUGUGAUUUCCCCAUUGAAGAAAAGGAGAUAGCCGUGAAUGUGUGGAGAGUAAUGUGUUAAGGUGGCUCAAAGAAGAGGGAAGCCAUUGCAGAUAAAUGCUCAGCUGAUAUGAAGAGUCAAAACUUCAAGAUUUUAUUCCACCACUCGAUUAUCCCUUCCCUUUUUGAUGGCCAUUUCACUGCAGCUGGGGUCUAUACAGCUAUAAAGCGGGAG